Molecule: long non-coding RNA, 1939 nt
Organism: Callithrix jacchus (white-tufted-ear marmoset)
Lineage: Eukaryota; Metazoa; Chordata; Mammalia; Primates; Cebidae
Source: Ensembl
AUACCUCAGCUAAGAGAAUUAUUAACUUUCUCAACACUUAAUUUCAUUUGGUUAUUUGUUACUCAAUUGUUAUACAGCUACAUAACUCUAAAGCUUUCUAACCGUGGAUCUAAUUCAUUUUCUAAUAGGUAAAAUAGGAAAGAAAAAUAUCUAUGACUGGCCAGCGACCUGGAAGAAUUAGCCAAUCACAUCAUUUUCUGGGGUUGCAUUUCUAAGUAAAAGGUGGAAUGUAUAUAAUGGCUAGGAUAUAUUAUACACAGGAUUAUGUCUUCAAAAUACUCCUGUCACAACUCUAAUGCUUGGUUUAAUUGUCAUAUUCAAGAGUUAUUAUGAGUUUAGGGAGCAACAACACAAAAAUAAUAACCCAAACUAAAAUUUAUAAUUGUCAUUUCUUGUCACUGUCUUUUUGAAGAAUUGAUGUUACAAUAAAAAAUGAAACUUUGGAGGAGGACUCAAGAUGACGCUGUGAGGACAACCCAGGAUUGGAGCUCUCCUUGAAUCCGCAGAGAGGAGUGUGCCACAUUAUCACUGUUAUAAAUGGUGUUUGUCAUAAUCAAGGACACAUGAAGAACCUAUGAAAGAAGUUAACUAAGAAUGACCUCUGCCUGCCUCCAGGGAAAGCAAACCAUGCCAAUCCACAAGAAGAUGAUGUGCUUGUCGGUAUUACAAGCUUUUAUGAUUCUCGUGGUCAAUAGCCUAGUGAUUAAAAUGUGCAUUCUUGACUUACUAAAAGGUAAGACUUUUUCUACUUCUUAGACAUCGCAAGAUCAUAAAAGACUUUGUCUGUUUGUAUCCUAUUGUUUUUACUACUAUUUAUGUGGAUUUUAUUCCUCUGUAUAUUUUAAACCCUAAAGACAUUAUUAUCUUUCCAGAAAAUAUUCAUUUAGAAUUAUACACAUAUUUAUACUAAACAGCAUAUUCCUCUUCGCUCUCUCCUGUUUUUUUUUCCAUACUUGGAUUUUCUUUUUUGUUUGUUUGUUUUUUUUAAUUGAAUGCUGACCAUUGUUUACAAAUAUUGAGCUAUUUCUAGCAUUGGAUAUUGUUAUCUUCCUCCAGUAAGGGUUUACUUCAGUUAUGGAGGGGAUUAAACUAAGAGAGAAUCAUGUUAAUCCAGUCAGAGGUUUAGUUGAUUUGAAAUGGAGUAUAAGACUUUGUGAGGGUUAUUCUAUUUCUAAUUCAUCAGAAUAGGCUAAUUAAUAGACUGCCAUUUUCAGGAUCAAAACCUUCUACACAGACGUCGAAUUCUGUAUUUCACCUAGAAAACCUAUAGAAGGUUGUUGUUAUCAAAUAGUAUCAGCAAUUUCAAUGCAAAAUAAUUAGUGGUUAUGAUUAAGUUUUUCCUCUAUGUUCAAGACAGGUCAGUGUGAUCUGACUUCAUAAAUAUUGUAUUAGGAGGAACUGGAACCAGUAUCAGAAUUGCAAACUCUUGUAAUAUAGAAAUACUGACAAACUAGUGCCUUAGAGCAACUGCAGAAACAUGUAAGUCAGAUGCAAACAGAAUGAAAUCAUAAUAUAAUGCAAGAUUUACUGGACAUUAAAAAAUUGGAAUGGAAUUAGUGAAGCCUUUGGAAUUGGGUAGCUUGGAAUUGAAUUCUGUUGCAACAAAAUAAAAAAAUUGUCAGAAUCUCUCACCUGUAUAAUGAUGCUACAACUAGCUAUUAAAAAGCUAUAAUCUACAACUAGCUAUUAAAAAGCUAUUACCUACUUAUGAAAGUAGUUAGAUAUUCUGCAUGGAGCUAUCUAUGGAAAGAAUAAGGGAUGAUAUAAAAUGUUUGCUUCUAUUAGAAAUAGAAAAACUGAAAUUUUAAAUUUGCAAGUUGAAACUAUUAAAAUCUAAACCAACAAUGAUUAAAGAGUAUAUAUUUUAUUCUGUAGUGAUAUAGAACAGAUAUAUUAGAAGAAUGCCUGAAUUCUAGAAGAUUUAAUUAUUUUUUAUUCA